UACGGAGGGGACUAGCGUUGUUCGGAAUUACUGGGCGUAAAGCGCACGUAGGCGGAUUUGUAAGUCAGGGGUGAAAUCCCGGGGCUCAACCUCGGAACUGCCUUUGAUACUGCAAAUCUCGAGUCCGGAAGAGGUGAGUGGAAUUCCUAGUGUAGAGGUGAAAUUCGUAGAUAUUAGGAAGAACACCAGUGGCGAAGGCGGCUCACUGGUCCGGUACUGACGCUGAGGAGCGAAAGCGUGGGUAGCGAACAGG
Molecule: ribosomal RNA, 253 nt
Filed under: uncultured bacterium
Lineage: Bacteria
Description: partial 16S ribosomal RNA
Rfam family: Bacterial small subunit ribosomal RNA
Source: RNAcentral